Molecule: long non-coding RNA, 564 nt
Filed under: Pan troglodytes (chimpanzee)
Lineage: Eukaryota; Metazoa; Chordata; Mammalia; Primates; Hominidae
Description: long non-coding RNA NONPTRT016061
Source: RNAcentral
AUGCCAGCUCCUAUAGGAGGGGGAGAAAGAAGCGCGUGCCUUAUACCAAGGUGCAAUUAAAAGAACUUGAACGGGAAUACGCCACGAAUAAAUUCAUUACUAAGGACAAACGGAGGCGGAUAUCAGCCACGACGAAUCUCUCUGAGCGGCAGGUCACAAUCUGGUUCCAGAACAGGAGGGUUAAAGAGAAAAAAGUCAUCAACAAACUGAAAACCACUAGUUAAUGGAUUAAAAAUAGAGCAAGAAGGCAACUUGAAGAAACGCUUCAGAACUCGUUGCUUUGCCCAGAUAAUGAUAAUAAUGCUUAAUAAUAAUUGAAGAAUGGGAAAGAGAAAGAGACAGAGACUGGCAUUUUCCUCUCCCGAAGGAGAUCUCUUUCUCUUUAAUGGAAUCUACAACUGUUUUAAAACUUUAAGAAAGAUGUAAGAAAUAUUCUGAGCCUCGAGCCUAGGAAGGAGGCCAACAGCAGCUCUCCAGCCGGGAUCCCGCCCCUUUCGAAAGCCAUCACCACUACAGGAACCCUGGGGAAGGAAAAAGACACUGGCGCAGAAAAAUUCCUCCGUG